GACAAGCGGUGGAGUAUGUGGUUUAAUUCGACGCAACGCGCAGAACCUUACCUGGCUUGACAUCUCGGGAAUCAUUUGGAAACAUAUGAGUGCCUCGCAAGAGGAGCCCGAUGACAGGUGCUGCAUGGCUGUCGCCAGCUCGUGUCGUGAGAUGUUGGGUUAAGUCCCGCAACGAGCGCAACCCUUGUCUUAGUUGCCAUCAUUAAGUUGGGCACUCUAAAGAGACUGCCGGUGUCAAACCGGAGGAAGGUGGGAUGACGUCAAGUCCUCAUGGCCUUUAUGACCAGGGCUACACACGUACUACAAUGGCAGGUACAAAGGGCAGCCACUUAGCGAUAAGGCGCGAAUCCCAUAAAACCUGUCUCAGUCCGGAUUGGAGUCUGCAACUCGACUCCAUGAAGUUGGAAUCGCUAGUAAUCGCAGAUCAGCACGCUGCGGUGAAUACGUUCCCGGGCCUU
RNAcentral lists this ribosomal RNA (458 nucleotides) under uncultured Desulfocapsa sp. RNAcentral's name for it is "bacterial SSU rRNA". It matches the Rfam family "Bacterial small subunit ribosomal RNA", at positions 924 to 1382 of the family's 1533-position model. The record is from RNAcentral. Lineage: Bacteria; Pseudomonadati; Thermodesulfobacteriota; Desulfobulbia; Desulfobulbales; Desulfocapsaceae.